UCAGUUAACAGCAUUACUGAUUCACAUCAUCCUUCUGCAUCAGAGAUACUGUCAGUUACAUCAGAGCAGUGUCCUGCUGACCUGCAUUCAAAUACAGUCAGUGGUGGAGACACUGAACUCACUUGGAGUAUCUUCACUUGAAGAUUUCCGAUAUGUUCAGGAAGCAGAUCUCUUGCCCAUAUUACGACCCAUUCAGGCAUGAAAACUUGUGUCUGCCUGGAGCCAGAUCAGUGCUUCUUCAGCAUAAAUCCAGAGAAGGGAACCAAAUUUGAGUCAAGAUAAAAACAAAAAACAGCUUCCAGUGAAUCCCAGAGUCCUUACACUCAUAGCAGACCUUGCUGAUCACGAAUGGAGAACAGACUAAUGUUGGACAAAACUUAUUUGACAGAUGUCUGAGGAUAACGUUUGCAGUGUCUAUGCUUUUCAAAUUUAUACUGGAAGAUGCUUUGAAUGUUGAAAAUGACUUGAGAAUGUUG
This is a long non-coding RNA of Silurus meridionalis, 476 nucleotides long. RefSeq lists it as uncharacterized. The transcript is spliced from 3 exons. NCBI's taxonomy places the organism in Eukaryota, Metazoa, Chordata, Actinopteri, Siluriformes, Siluridae. The record is from RefSeq and is a predicted model, not a curated record.